ACUCCUACGGGAGGCAGCAGUGGGAAUAUUGCACAAUGGGCGCAAGCCUGAUGCAGCCAUGCCGCGUGUGUGAAGAAGGCCUUCGGGUUGUAAAGCACUUUCAGUCGUGAGGAAGGUGGUAGUGUUAAUAGCACUAUCAUUUGACGUUAGCGACAGAAGAAGCACCGGCUAACUCCGUGCCAGCAGCCGCGGUAAUACGGAGGGUGCGAGCGUUAUCCGGAUUUAUUGGGUUUAAAGGGUCCGUAGGCGGAUUAUAAGUCAGUGGUGAAAUCCCAUCGCUUAACGAUGGAACUGCCAUUGAUACUGUUAGUCUUGAAUGAGGGUGCAGUGGUUGGAAUGUGUAGUGUAGCGGUGAAAUGCAUAGAUAUUACACAGAACACCGAUUGCGAAGGCAGAUCACUAACCCUAAAUUGACGNUGAGGGACGAAAGCGUGGGGAGCGAACAGGAUUAGAUACCCUGUAGGCUCU
This 468-nucleotide ribosomal RNA is filed under the name uncultured bacterium. RNAcentral describes it as "bacterial SSU rRNA". It matches the Rfam family "Bacterial small subunit ribosomal RNA", at positions 335 to 797 of the family's 1533-position model. The record is from RNAcentral.